UCCCUGGUGGUCCAGUGGCUAGGAUUCAGCGAUUUCACUGCUGUGGCCCAGGUUCAAUUCCUGGUCAGGGAA
Non-coding RNA from Lipotes vexillifer (Yangtze River dolphin), 72 nucleotides. NCBI's taxonomy places the organism in Eukaryota, Metazoa, Chordata, Mammalia, Artiodactyla, Lipotidae. The record is from the annotation of a RefSeq genome assembly.